RNAcentral lists this ribosomal RNA (907 nucleotides) under uncultured Bacteroidales bacterium. RNAcentral's name for it is "bacterial SSU rRNA". It matches the Rfam family "Bacterial small subunit ribosomal RNA", at positions 582 to 1501 of the family's 1533-position model. Lineage: Bacteria; Pseudomonadati; Bacteroidota; Bacteroidia; Bacteroidales. The record is from RNAcentral.
GGUAAGUCAGCGGUGAAAGUUUGUCGCUCAACGAUAAAAUUGCCGUUGAAACUGUCGGCCUUGAGUAUGGAUGAAGCAGGCGGAAUGCGUGGUGUAGCGGUGAAAUGCUUAGAGAUCACGCAGAACUCCGAUUGCGUAGGCAGCCUGCUAAGGCAUAACUGACACUGAAGCACGAAAGCGUGGGUAUCAAACAGGAUUAGAUACCCUGGUAGUCCACGCAGUAAACGAUGAUUACUAGGAGUUUGCGAUAGACUGCAAGCUCUACAGCGAAAGCGUUAAGUAAUCCACCUGGGGAGUACGCCGGCAACGGUGAAACUCAAAGGAAUUGACGGGGGCCCGCACAAGCGGAGGAACAUGUGGUUUAAUUCGAUGAUACGCGAGGAGCCUUACCCGGGAUUGAAAUGUACUCGACGGCAGGAGAAAUUCUGCUUCCAGCAAUGGCGGGUAUGUAGGUGCUGCAUGGUUGUCGUCAGCUCGUGCCGUGAGGUGUCGGCUUAAGUGCCAUAACGAGCGCAACCCUGACUGUCAGUUGCUAACAGGUAAUGCUGAGGACUCUGGCGGGACUGCCGGCGUAAGCUGUGAGGAAGGUUGGGAUGACGUCAAAUCAGCACGGCCCUUACAUCCGGGGCGACACACGUGUUACAAUGGCAUGGACAGAGGGUUGCUACCCGGCGACGGGAUGCUAAUCUCCAAACCGUGUCUCAGUUCGGAUCGGAGUCUGCAAUUCGACUCCGUGAAGCUGGAUUCGCUAGUAAUCGCGCAUCAGCCAUGGCGCGGUGAAUACGUUCCCGGGCCUUGUACACACCGCCCGUCAAGCCAUGGGAGCCGGGGGGACCUGAAGUCCGUAACCGCAAGGAUCGGCCUAGGGUAAAACCGGUGACUGGGGCUAAGUCGUAACAAGGUAACC